This 798-nucleotide ribosomal RNA is filed under the name uncultured Glomus. Its description in RNAcentral is "SSU rRNA". It matches the Rfam family "Eukaryotic small subunit ribosomal RNA", at positions 314 to 1114 of the family's 1831-position model. Lineage: Eukaryota; Fungi; Glomeromycota; Glomeromycetes; Glomerales; Glomeraceae. The record is from RNAcentral.
AUCAACUUUCGAUGGUAGGAUAGAGGCCUACCAUGGUGGUAACGGGUAACGGGGUGUUAGGGCACGACACCGGAGAGGGAGCCUGAGAAACGGCUACCACAUCCAAGGAUGGCAGCAGGCGCGCAAAUUACCCAAUCCCGACACGGGGAGGUAGUGACAAUAAAUAACAAUACGGGGUUCUUUCGGAUCUCGUAAUUGGAAUGAGUACAAUUUAAAUCUCUUAACGAGGAACAAUUGGAGGGCAAGUCUGGUGCCAGCAGCCGCGGUAAUUCCAGCUCCAAUAGCGUAUAUUAAAGUUGCUGCAGUUAAAAAGCUCGUAGUUGAAUUUCGGGACCAAUAUGUCGGUCGUGCUUCGGUACGUACUGUCAUUAUUGGUUUCUCCCUUCUGAAGAACCUUGAUGUCAUUAAUUUGGUGUCUUGGGGAAUCAGGACUGUUACUUUGAAAAAAUUAGAGUGUUUAAAGCAGGCUCGCGCUUGAAUACAUUAGCAUGGAAUAAUGAAAUAGGACGUUUGAUUCUAUUUUGUUGGUUUCUAGGAUCGACGUAAUGAUUAAUAGGGAUAGUUGGGGGCAUUAGUAUUCAAUUGUCAGAGGUGAAAUUCUUGGAUUUAUUGAAGACUAACUACUGCGAAAGCAUUUGCCAAGGAUGUUUUCAUUAAUCAAGAACGAAAGUUAGGGGAUCGAAGACGAUCAGAUACCGUCGUAGUCUUAACCAUAGACUAUGCCGACUAGGGAUCGGAUGAUGUUAAUUUUUUAAUGACUCAUUCGGCGCCUUACGGGAAACCAAAGUGUUUGGGUUC